Molecule: long non-coding RNA, 534 nt
Organism: Bactrocera latifrons
Lineage: Eukaryota; Metazoa; Arthropoda; Insecta; Diptera; Tephritidae
Exons: 3
Source: RefSeq, a predicted model, not a curated record
GUCACGGUUGACUUAUUAUUCGCCCGCGCCUUUGAAUGUGAAUUCGAAUUGUACUUUGGAGUGAAGUAUUAAGUGAGGAAUUUUAUAUUUUUUUAAAUGCGUUGCGCAGUGUUCGAUUGCAACUGCAGAAGCAGUUUAAAAUGGGUUUAAGCUCGCGGAAUCCAACGAAGUUAUUACCUAGCGCUUUUCCCAUGUUAACCACUGCUCCUGUAGAGAUUAAUGAACGACAGAAAAUGAUAUAGUCUGGUUUAAACCAGGACGUUUUAGAAAUCUCUAACCGGUAAUAUUUUUAACGUCUUUCAAUAGAUCUAAACUCCGCUGGCCCAACUGAAAAAAAUUGAUGACGUGAAGAUUCUCAACAACGACGGACUUGAGAAUUUGGCAGGGUACAUCUGCCACAAACUUGGUAAAGACAACAAUUUGUGACAAUUCAGAAAAUUGUUCAUCUUAUACUUGGGUGGAUCCCCUUUCUGAAGGAGGACUCUCAAAAAAACAGAUAUGUUGAUGGAGCAUAUGAGAGCAUUGCAAGCAGUA